Molecule: ribosomal RNA, 35 nt
Filed under: Sulcaria sp. Hur 040056
Lineage: Eukaryota; Fungi; Ascomycota; Lecanoromycetes; Lecanorales; Parmeliaceae
Description: partial 18S ribosomal RNA
Source: RNAcentral
UAGUAGCGGAAAGGUUUCAGAAGGGUGAACCUGCG